Molecule: ribosomal RNA, 774 nt
Filed under: uncultured Neocallimastigales
Lineage: Eukaryota; Fungi; Neocallimastigomycota; Neocallimastigomycetes; Neocallimastigales
Description: partial large subunit ribosomal RNA
Rfam family: Eukaryotic large subunit ribosomal RNA
Source: RNAcentral
AGAGAGAGACAUGCGCGCAUAUCAAUAAGCGGAGGAAAAGAAACUAACAAGGAUUCCCCUAGUAACGGCGAGUGAAGCGGGAAGAGCUCAAAUUUGAAAUCUUAAAGGGUUUCCCUUUACGAAUUGUAGUUUAAAGAAGUGUUUUCUGUUGAGGUUUUGGUAAAAGUUCUUUGGAAUAGGACAUCAUAGAGGGUGAGAAUCCCGUAUUUGACCUUUACUUUCAACUUUGUGAUACACUUUCAAAGAGUCGGAUUGCUUGGGAAUGCAGUCCAAAAUGGGUGGUAAAUUUCAUCUAAAGCUAAAUAUUGGCGAGAGACCGAUAGCGAACAAGUACCGUGAGGGAAAGAUGAAAAGAACUUUGAAAAGAGAGUUAAACAGUACGUGAAAUUGUCAAAAGGGAAGCGUUUGACACCAGUGUUGUUUUUCUGAAAAUCAAUUAAAGAACUGUUUAUGCUAAGUUGUUUAGACUUUAUCAGCUAUCUGUUUAGUUUUGAGCUUUUCUUUAAUGCACUUUUCAGUUAACAAGUCAACAUCAAUUUCUUUUGCUGUAAAAAAGCUUGAGGAAGGUGGCUUGAGAUUCGUCUUAAGUGUUUAUAGCCUCUUGCCUAUGCAGUCGGAGAGAUUGAGGUCUGCAGCGUAGAUCCUUCGGGGCUAAAUGCAUUUGUGCUAAGUUAUAGCAUUUUAUAGACAACUUGUUGACUGAUGAUUUGUCUUGUAGCUUACUCGCUUAUGUUAUUUUACCUACGCUUAGGAUGUUGACGCAUGAGAUAUACG